GACGAACGCUGGCGGCGUGCUUAACACAUGCAAGUCGAACGGUGACGGAGAGCUUGCUCUCCUGAUCAGUGGCGAACGGGUGAGUAACACGUGGGCAAUCUGCCCCUGACUUCGGGAUAACGCUUCGAAAGAGGUGCUAAUACCGGAUACGAACUCGGCAGGCAUCUGCUGAGUUGGAAAGUUUUUCGGUCAGGGAUGAGCCCGCGGCCUAUCAGCUUGUUGGGGAGGUAACGGCUCACCAAGGCGACGACGGGUAGCCGGCCUGAGAGGGCGAGCGGCCACACUGGGACUGAGACACGGCCCAGACUCCUACGGGAGGCAGCAGUGGGGAAUAUUGCGCAAUGGGCGAAAGCCUGACGCAGCAACGCCGCGUGAGGGAUGACGGCCUUCGGGUUGUAAACCUCUUUCAGCAGGGAAGAAGCGAAAGUGACGGUACCUGCAGAAGAAGCACCGGCUAACUACGUGCCAGCCGCCGCGGUAA
RNAcentral lists this ribosomal RNA (481 nucleotides) under uncultured bacterium. Its description in RNAcentral is "partial 16S ribosomal RNA". It matches the Rfam family "Bacterial small subunit ribosomal RNA", at positions 28 to 523 of the family's 1533-position model. The record is from RNAcentral.